RNAcentral lists this small nuclear RNA (25 nucleotides) under Arabidopsis thaliana (thale cress). Its description in RNAcentral is "snRNA_03798". The record is from RNAcentral. Lineage: Eukaryota; Viridiplantae; Streptophyta; Magnoliopsida; Brassicales; Brassicaceae.
CAAGGAUUCCCUUAGUAACGGCGAG